GCUGCCCAAGUGCUCUUUGGUACCUUUGCUCUCUCCUCCUAGCUCCAGCAAUUUUUCUAGCUCCACUUUUACCUGAUUACUCUGCUUCUUAAUUCACAGAGCAGCAAUCAGCACAGGCAUGUCACAAGCUCCAAUCAGGACGCUUGCGCCCAUGUGGUCUUCCAGUGACUACAGAUAGAUAAGCACUCAGGAAGAGAGAAGCCUGCGACUGAUCUGGGAGAAAGGUGAACUGCAGCCACCACUGCAAGAUGCAGCCAGCACAGUCUCUCUCAUUCUUCACUUAGUUCAACUUCCUAACCCAUCAAUGCCAGCAUGGACAAAGAAGAGCAGCAAACGGGGAGGAGUCAAGACUUUACGUUUUACUAGAUAUGGAGAUAUGGUGAGAACAUGAUGAAACCAAGAGCAUGUGACAGAGGAACACAGUUUGCCUCCUGGAAGCUGGGAAGAGGGUGGGUGACAGGAGUGAGGUCUCAGUACCUGUGACCUAACUGCCUCCAUGUAGGACCCUCUUCUUAAUGCUUCUGCCAACAUUACCAUAGCUGGUAUCAAACCUUAAUCCAUGAGAUUUUGACGGAUACUCCUGAUAAAAACUAUAACUAUGGAUCUGGGAUGCAUUCAGAAUAGACAACUGUCAGAUGCCAGGUCUUGGUUGGGUAUUGGCUCCAGAAGAGCACACCUGAAUGGAAAUCUCUGCCUUCCUAGGGUGCAUAAAAAUUUGCCAUUGACUAAGUGUGGACCACAUGGGAUGGGGGAGCAACUGUGAUAGUCCACACCUGUAUUCCAUCACUCCUAGUGUGGGAAGGGAGGCAGAGACAGGAGAAUGGAAAAGCUCACAGGCCAGCUAACCUGGAGCGAGCAACAUCAAAGAAACAAGAAAGCACUGCCUCAACAAGGUGGAAGUGGAUUACCAACUCCUGAAAGUUAUCUUCUGACAUGUAUAUAUACAUACACACACACACACACACACACACACAUACAUACAUACAUACAUACAUGCAGGCAGGCAGGCAAACAGACAG
Long non-coding RNA from Arvicola amphibius (Eurasian water vole), 1019 nucleotides. RefSeq lists it as uncharacterized. Lineage: Eukaryota; Metazoa; Chordata; Mammalia; Rodentia; Cricetidae. The transcript is spliced from 3 exons. The record is from RefSeq and is a predicted model, not a curated record.